CUUUUGGAGUUUGCCCGUAGGUCAGUUUUGCCUACCACAGCGGGUCCGCCUGCUAGUUGACGCCCGUCAGCAACACGCUCAACAUGCGGAGAGAGCCUGCGAGGCAAACCCGCAGCUGCCGCGGCAGUUCAGAGACUCGACGAGCGUGGGCUCAGCUGGGGAAGCUGAGUUUGAGAUAGAGCCCGACCCUGCUGGGAAUGGCAGGGAGCGAUCGGAACCUGCGGAAGGAUCAUUAAAGAAUACCCGGCCUUGAGGCCUUAUUCUCACCCUUUGUAUACCAAACCAUGUUGCCUUGGCGGCGCCGUACAGGCCCCAAAAACCGCCAGAGGACCUGAAACCCUAGCAUCUCUGCUGUCUGAGUCGCUAUAUAAUAGUUAAAACUUUCAACAACGGAUCUCUUGGUUCUGGCAUCGAUGAAGAACGCAGCGAAAUGCGAUAAGUAAUGUGAAUUGCAGAUAUCAGUGAAUCAUCGAAUCUUUGAACGCACAUUGCACCUCCUGGCAUUCCAGGAGGUAUGCCUGUUCGAGCGUCAUUACAACCCUCACGCACAGCGUGGUGUUGGGCUCGCCCUUGAGGGCCUGCCUCAAAUGCAGUGGCGGCACCGUAUAACCCCUAAGCGUAGUACUGCUCGUCGCUUGUGGGCGUUGGGCGGCGGCCUGUCAGGAACCCCUACAUCUUAUGGUUGACCUCGGAUCAGGUAGGGAUACCCGCUGAACUUAAGCAUAUCAAAA
Molecule: ribosomal RNA, 731 nt
Filed under: Therrya sp. CLH-2015b
Lineage: Eukaryota; Fungi; Ascomycota; Leotiomycetes; Rhytismatales; Rhytismataceae
Description: eukaryotic LSU rRNA
Rfam family: 5.8S ribosomal RNA (bases 379-532)
Source: RNAcentral